Molecule: ribosomal RNA, 246 nt
Filed under: uncultured bacterium
Lineage: Bacteria
Description: partial 16S ribosomal RNA
Rfam family: Bacterial small subunit ribosomal RNA
Source: RNAcentral
CAUGCCGUAAACGAUGAGUGCUAAGUGUUAGGGGGUUUCCGCCCCUUAGUGCUGCAGCUAACGCAUUAAGCACUCCGCCUGGGGAGUACGACCGCAAGGUUGAAACUCAAAGGAAUUGACGGGGGCCCGCACAAGCGGAGGAACAUGUGGUUUAAUUCGAUGAUACGCGAGGAACCUUACCCGGGCUCAAACGGAAGAGGAGCGUGCGUGAAAGCGUGCGGUCCGCAAGGACCUCUUCCGAGGUGC